GAUGAACGCUGGCGGCGCGCUUAAGACAUGCAAGUCGAACGGAACUUAGUUGAAUGUUUACAUGAAGCCUAGCGAAUGUAAAGUUAGUGGCGGACGGGUGAGUAACGCGUGGGUAACCUGCCAUAUGCUGGGGGACAACAGUUAGAAAUGACUGCUAAUACCGCAUAAGCGCACAGUAUCGCAUGAUACAGUGUGAAAAACUCCGGUGGCAUAUGAUGGACCCGCGUCUGAUUAGCUAGUUGGUGAGGUAACGGCUCACCAAGGCGACGAUCAGUAGCCGACCUGAGAGGGUGACCGGCCACAUUGGGACUGAGACACGGCCCAAACUCCUACGGGAGGCAGCAGUGGGAAUAUUGCACAAUGGGCGAAAGCCUGAUGCAGCGACGCCGCGUGAGCGAAGAAGUAUUUCGGUAUGUAAAGCUCUAUCAGCAGGGAAGAAAAUGACGGUACCUGACUAAGAAGCUCCGGCUAAAUACG
Molecule: ribosomal RNA, 477 nt
Filed under: uncultured bacterium
Lineage: Bacteria
Description: bacterial SSU rRNA
Rfam family: Bacterial small subunit ribosomal RNA
Source: RNAcentral